UUCUUCAUCACUUUAGCUUCUUCCGACGAAAGUUCCAGACUCUGUGAUCGACCAUAGCUUUUACGAUUUCUUCUCCGUAACGGCGCAUUGAUUUCUACUUUGCUCCCAGGUUUUACGUAAUUAACACAUCCUCAUUGAUGUCGUCCUCAUUGAUGUCAAGUCCGACGAACCAGCGCGCCCGUCGUUCUAAACGAUCCGCCUCGGGAAGAGGCACAAGACCAGAGGCUAAGGGAGCUAAUCAAGGAGCUCGAUCGCCAGAAGAAAGCUCGAGAAGCCGCCUAGAGUUCGAAAUCGGAUCUCCAAGCGCCGUUCAAUCGGCUCAAAGCUCUUGCUCACGAGGCAAUCAAGAAGCGCAACGAGUCCAAGCGAGAGCGAGACGAAGCCUUGAAGAAAAAAAGAAGAUCUAUCAAACGAGCUUGAGAGUGUAAGUAAAAGCAAAGAUGGUCGGUUUUGAAGAAGCUUGACGAGGCUUUGAGAUCUAGAGAUGGUUUGAAAACAGAGAUUGAGACUUCGCCUCAUAUGUUGGUGAAGAUAUCUGGUAAAGUCAGCAGCUUUAAGAAUUUCUCAAACGGAGGUCUUCCGAAGUCUCAGAAGUACACAUGUCUGGCUUCUGUUGCUUAUUCGUCGGAGGGUUUAUUUUAGGUGUACUCGGCAUAUGCUCUUGGCUGCGUAUAUGCACAACAGCUAAUAUUCUAUUUAGUUGAUCACACUAACAGAUCAACAAGGCUAGAGCCUAUAGCUGGAGCAGACCGAAAGGAUCUCAGGAGGAAAUUCCCUAAAUACAUACAUGAUGAGGACAAAGCUUUGGAGAAAACUUGGAAGGUACUGGGUUGGAAAUUCACUCAGCUCAACUCUGCUAUGGAGGAUGCGACCUCUCAGCUAAAAACAGGAGAUACCCUCUAUGGUUCAGCU
This is a long non-coding RNA of Brassica oleracea var. oleracea, 912 nucleotides long. RefSeq lists it as uncharacterized. The record is from RefSeq and is a predicted model, not a curated record. The transcript is spliced from 3 exons. NCBI's taxonomy places the organism in Eukaryota, Viridiplantae, Streptophyta, Magnoliopsida, Brassicales, Brassicaceae.